AGACACCAUCAGCUCCUUGUUAAAAGUGAACGACCGACCGGAUUCCCUGCAUCGAAAAUACUGGGCCAGUCCACGAACUACAUUGAUGAAGGCUUGACUACACAGAUAACGCUUCAACAGUAUAUUCACGUCGCAACUAUAUCACAAAACAAACACGCAACAUUGGAAAAUUUGUACACAACUGCGAGGUUAUUUCUACAGAAAGAUUUGAAGUCGAUAUAACAAAUUCCAGUCUUCUAAUGCACGAAUUUUAUAUGAUGACAACACAAUCCAGAAUACAAUGGAGCACGACUACGCCACAACUAACAAGGACAUCAUCUGGCGUUUCUGGCAUUAAAAUCUUCUUACAUUGUGUUGCACGCAAAACUAUUUGACCUCCCCUAACGACAUAGGAGCCUUCCAAACCAACAAGACGAUGGCCUGCAGAAUGAAGUGUACAUCAUCUUGAGUAGAAAACCUUACAUUUAAAUGAUAAGACUGUUUUCUACUAGAUUUCAACGCGAAAGAGUGCGAGAUUGAAACUUAACCCUCUUUGGGGCCUUUAGAUUAAAAAAAACCCAGAAAAUAAAGGGGGAUCUGAUGCUAGUUUAUUGCUACAAUUAAGAGGAUUAAAUGCUAGUUUGUGUUGACGCAUGCAA
This is a long non-coding RNA of Xenia sp. Carnegie-2017, 638 nucleotides long. RefSeq lists it as uncharacterized. Lineage: Eukaryota; Metazoa; Cnidaria; Anthozoa; Malacalcyonacea; Xeniidae. The record is from RefSeq and is a predicted model, not a curated record. The transcript has 2 exons.